Molecule: ribosomal RNA, 253 nt
Filed under: uncultured bacterium
Lineage: Bacteria
Description: partial 16S ribosomal RNA
Rfam family: Bacterial small subunit ribosomal RNA
Source: RNAcentral
UACAGAGGGGGCAAGCGUUGUUCGGAAUUACUGGGCGUAAAGGGCGCGUAGGCGGCCUGUUAAGUCGAACGUGAAAUCCCCAGGCUCAACCUGGGAACUGCGUCCGAUACUGGGUGGCUUGAAUCCGGGAGAGGGAUGCGGAAUUCCAGGUGUAGCGGUGAAAUGCGUAGAUAUCUGGAGGAACACCGGUGGCGAAGGCGGCAUCCUGGACCGGCAUUGACGCUGAGGCGCGAAAGCCAGGGGAGCAAACGGG